GAUGAACGCUAGCGACAGGCCUAACACAUGCAAGUCGAGGGGCAGCACAAGGUAGCAAUACUGAGGUGGCGACCGGCGCACGGGUGAGUAACGCGUAUGCAACCUGCCUGUAACAGGGGAAUAGCCUCUUGAAAGAGAGAUUAAUGCCGCAUAAUACGAGAUUCGGGCAUCCGGAUUUAGUUAAACAUUUAUGGGUUACAGAUGGGCAUGCGGUUCAUUAGGUAGUUGGUGAGGUAACGGCUACCCAAGCCGACGAUGAAUAGGGGGUCUGGGAGGAAGGGCCCCCACACUGGGACGGAGACACGGACCAGACUCCUACGGGAGGCAGCAGUGGGGAAUAUUGGGCAAUGGACGCAAGUCUGAACCAGCCAAGUCGCGUGAAGGAUGAAGGUAUUAUGUAUUUUAAACUUCUUUUGACAGGGAAUAAUGGGUGUCACGUGUGACGCAGAGGAAUGUACCUGACGAAUAAGCAUCGGCUAACUCCGUGCCAGCAGCCGCCGUAAGAC
Molecule: ribosomal RNA, 506 nt
Filed under: uncultured bacterium
Lineage: Bacteria
Description: bacterial SSU rRNA
Rfam family: Bacterial small subunit ribosomal RNA
Source: RNAcentral